UACGGAGGGUGCAAACGUUGCUCGGAAUUAUUGGGCGUAAAGCGCACGUAGGCGGUCUAGCAAGUCGGGUGUGAAAGCCCUCAGCUUAACUGAGGAAGUGCAUUCGAAACUACUAGGCUUGAGUACUGAAGAGGACGACGGAAUUCCCGGUGUAGAGGUGAAAUUCGUAGAUAUCGGGAGGAACACCAGUGGCGAAGGCGGCUCUCUGGGACGGUACUGACGCUGAGACGCGAAAGCGUGGGGAGCGAACAGG
RNAcentral lists this ribosomal RNA (253 nucleotides) under uncultured bacterium. RNAcentral's name for it is "partial 16S ribosomal RNA". It matches the Rfam family "Bacterial small subunit ribosomal RNA", at positions 524 to 776 of the family's 1533-position model. The record is from RNAcentral.